This 69-nucleotide transfer RNA is filed under the name Parazen pacificus (parazen). RNAcentral's name for it is "tRNA-Glu". It matches the Rfam family "tRNA". From Rfam's summary of the family: Transfer RNA (tRNA) molecules are approximately 80 nucleotides in length. The record is from RNAcentral. Lineage: Eukaryota; Metazoa; Chordata; Actinopteri; Zeiformes; Parazenidae.
GCUCUUGUAGUAAAAUUAUAACGGUGGUUUUUCAAGCCAUAGUUCUUGGUUAAAACCCUGGUAAGAGUG